This 1036-nucleotide ribosomal RNA is filed under the name uncultured bacterium. RNAcentral describes it as "bacterial SSU rRNA". It matches the Rfam family "Bacterial small subunit ribosomal RNA", at positions 336 to 1393 of the family's 1533-position model. The record is from RNAcentral.
CUCCUACUGGAGGCAGCAGUGGGGAAUAUUGCACAAUGGGCGAAAGCCUGAUGCAGCAACGCCGCGUGAACGAUGAAGGUCUUCGGAUCGUAAAGUUCUGUUGCAGGGGAAGAUAAUGACGGUACCCUGUGAGGAAGCCCCGGCUAACUACGUGCCAGCAGCCGCGGUAAUACGUAGGGGGCUAGCGUUAUCCGGAUUUACUGGGCGUAAAGGGUGCGUAGGUGGUCCUUCAAGUCGGUGGUUAAAGGCUACGGCUCAACCGUAGUAAGCCGCCGAAACUGGAGGACUUGAGUGCAGGAGAGGAAAGUGGAAUUCCCAGUGUAGCGGUGAAAUGCGUAGAUAUUGGGAGGAACACCAGUAGCGAAGGCGGCUUUCUGGACUGCAACUGACACUGAGGCACGAAAGCGUGGGUAGCAAACAGGAUUAGAUACCCUGGUAGUCCACGCUGUAAACGAUGAGUACUAGGUGUCGGGGGUUACCCCCCUCGGUGCCGCAGCUAACGCAUUAAGUACUCCGCCUGGGGAGUACGCACGCAAGUGUGAAACUCAAAGGAAUUGACGGGGACCCGCACAAGUAGCGGAGCAUGUGGUUUAAUUCGAAGCAACGCGAAGAACCUUACCUAAGCUUGACAUCCCUCGGACAGGUGUUUAAUCACACCCUUCCUUCGGGACUGAGGUGACAGGUGGUGCAUGGUUGUCGUCAGCUCGUGUCGUGAGAUGUUGGGUUAAGUCCCGCAACGAGCGCAACCCUUGUCUUUAGUUGCCAGCAUUCAGUUGGGCACUCUAGAGAGACUGCCAGGGAUAACCUGGAGGAAGGUGGGGAUGACGUCAAAUCAUCAUGCCCCUUAUGCUUAGGGCUACACACGUGCUACAAUGGGUGGUACAGAGGGUUGCCAAACCGUGAGGUGGAGCCAAUCCCUUAAAGCCAUUCUCAGUUCGGAUUGUAGGCUGAAACUCGCCUACAUGAAGCUGGAGUUACUAGUAAUCGCAGAUCAGAAUGCUGCGGUGAAUGCGUUCCCGGGUCUUGUACACACCGC